CCCCGACUCCACUGCCCUGGCCCCUGCCAGCCAGCAGACCAAGUGACCUCUGGGCUCUUCUGAACCCUGGGCUGGCUUCGGUCAGAGGCUCUGCCACGUCCCAGAUGGCCGUCACCGAUGCCUGUGUCUCCUGUCUCCCCGGGGACAGACACGGCUUCCCACAGGCUUACUCGAAGCGGACGGCACGAGUUCAUUCCAUCGUCUUUGCUGAGCACCUUCUAGGCGCAUGAGCGGUGGAAGUGAUGGCAGUGAAUGUAUUAGAUAAACAAACAGAUACCCCAAACCCUGUCUGGCUGGAGCGGAUAGUUGAACAGCAACCGCAGAACUGAUAAUGUGUCUGGGGUGCCUGGUAUGUUGGAGCCACAGUGAAACUGGAGAGGAAGAUGAACGCGAGCUUCAGACGUGAUACCCAGAGGCAGGCUCUCUGAUGCCUGACCUGCAGCCUCUGCGUGUGGGCAUCUUGCAGGAGCAUCACUCACCUGGGAUGUCAGGGCACACAGGCCUGAAGCUGUCUCCUGGGAACUGGCUUCCCUUCACCUCCGAGGCACUCCCCCGAGUCCCCAUCGCCCCGCCAGGCAGGGAAAGGGCGCCUCAGUCUCCCCCACCACCUCCACAGCUGUGCCCAUUCUCCACGGCACACUCUUCCACAUCCCCGAGAGAUGGAGCGUCUCUGGCAGCCCCGCCAGGCUACCGUCCCCUCACUCCAGGCCCAGAACUGGCCUGGCUUCCUGGACGGCAGCUGGCAGGGGCUCAGGGGCAGGGGGAUGAAAGAGACCCGAGUGAGUCCUCGGAGACCCCAGCCUGCCUCCCCAGGCCCUGAGGCAGCUGUGCUCAAACCUGGCACAGCUGGGGUCUAUGGGGCUGCUGUCUGAUACACCCUCCUGCCCCGGGAAACACCCGUCUUCUCCCACCGGACCCUUCAUGGUCUGACUGGUCCCUGUCACUGGACUGCAUGGGAAAGCAGCCUGGAAUCCCUAAAACAGAGGUUUCCGGGGUGCAGACAGCAGAACCACAGGGAGGCACCUGAUGCAGGGCCGUCUUUGGGCACAUCCGUGCGCCGCGGCUGACAGGGAAGCACAGCAGCCCAGUGGGGGCUUCCCCGGUGGCUCAGCGGUAAAGAAGCCAACACAGGAGACCCAGCUUCGAUCCCCGGGUCGGGAAGAUUCCCCUGGAGGAGGAAAGGGCAACCCCCUCCAGUGUUCCUGCCUGGGAGACCCCACGGACAGGGGAGAUGGGCGGGCUACAGUCCAUGGGGUCGCAGAGAGUCGGACACAACUGAGCAACAUUAGAGCAGAGCUUCUUGGGGGUCCACUGCUUUGGAGGACAGGACCUAUUGUGAACCCCAUGACAGUGGCUUAGGCUUAAUGGGGGACUUACUGACCCUCUGGGGUAGAUCUGAAAUAAAUGAAAAGGUGGGGCUACCCACUUUCUGUGGAAGUUGAAGGAAAUGCUCUGAAACCACGCAGAGCCUGUGUAUAAUAACAGCACCUACCUCCUGGGGAGGGAGCCGGCUAAGACCUUUCGCUGCCUCUGCUUUCCCAUUCUCUAGACUUUCUACGACCCUUCAGCAUCUACUGGACGGUCACACUGUUAAACCCAGCAGGUGUCAGCCUCCCGCAGCGCUGUGUCUCACUGGCAGGACCGGGAACUCCCCAGCUGAGCGGGGGGUGGUGGUAUUGGUGACUCGGGAGUCAAGGUGGCCUUGAGCUGGGCGUGGGGAAAAGGGGAGAGGGGCUGGGCACAGUGCCAGGGAGCAAGGGGGUCGGGAGGGUCAGGCUGGACCAGGCGGGGUGGGCAGGUGAAUGGAGCAGAGGGUGAGGCACACGUAGGGUCCCGCAGGCCCCAGGCAACCAUGGAUGGCGUGUGAGCAGAAGGCUGAGUCUGGGAAGGGCAGCGGGCAUCUCCCAGGUUCCUUUCUCCCGCUUUGCAAUGUUGAUCCCACGCUUCUGUGCGGUGUGAAGAUCCCAAGCGUGCCUGCUCUGGACGGCAGCGUGACCCUGGGCUUAGAAGUGGUGGCUGCGGAGCUUGGCCGGCUCAGACCCUCGGGCUGUGCUCUGUGGCUGCGUGCGAUGUCCACAGGCCGUGACCCCACCUCCCUGGGCUUCAGGUCCUCACCCCUGGGUUGAGAACGGCCAUAAAACACCAGCCUCCUGGACGGGGCGGGCAGGCCUUCGAUGAGUCAGGACACGUAAAGCAUUUGAGACGGGGAGCCGGCACACAGCGAGCCCUCGAGAUACCUGGUCCCUGCCAUCACCCCAUUGCCAGUGUCCUCCCGGACUUCAGUCUCCCUCGACGCUCGCUUUCGAGGGUUCCUCGGGGGGCAAGCAUGGGCUCAGGGUCUGUCGGCCAGCAGACACCAGCAAGGCCUGUCCUGCCACCCACCUUCAGGACACGGUGUCCCCAGGCUCCCUCUCUCCAUCCUCAGCAUCUGCGCGAGCUGGGCCAGUGCCAGGAAGCCCCGGGUUCAGCCUUGCCUCACCUCGUUUAUUCUCCUCUGAGA
Molecule: long non-coding RNA, 2500 nt
Organism: Bos taurus (domestic cattle)
Lineage: Eukaryota; Metazoa; Chordata; Mammalia; Artiodactyla; Bovidae
Source: Ensembl